GAAGUUCGCCAGGCAGUCGCGCUGCACCAUGUGUGCACCGAGGAAAGUCCGGGCCCCGCAGGGCAGGAUGCCGGCUAACGGCCGGGCGCUAUAAGUCGAAAGACCCAAGGCGACGGAAAGUGCAACAGAAAGCAAACCGCCGAUGGCUCCGCAAGGAGAUCAGGUAAGGGUGAAACGGUGUGGGCCCUGGUGAAAAUCAGGGCGCAUGUUGUGCGUGAGCAUGACUGGGUAAGAGCCCACCGCAGUCUCUGGUAACAGGGCUGGCACGGUAAACCCCAUCCGGGGCAAGGCCAAAUAGGGGGGUGUUGAUGUGGCCCGCAGAGCCCCCGGGUAGGCUGCUAGAGCUUCACGGUAACGUGAAGCCGAGAUGAAUGACUGCCCCGCAUCCGCAAGGAUGCGCGACAGAACCCGGCUUAUCGGCGAACUUCCCUU
Molecule: RNase P RNA, 432 nt
Filed under: Uliginosibacterium sp.
Lineage: Bacteria; Pseudomonadati; Pseudomonadota; Betaproteobacteria; Rhodocyclales; Zoogloeaceae
Description: RNase P RNA component class A
Rfam family: Bacterial RNase P class A
About the family: Ribonuclease P (RNase P) is a ubiquitous endoribonuclease, found in archaea, bacteria and eukarya as well as chloroplasts and mitochondria.
Source: RNAcentral